AGAAUCCCAAGGCGCUUGAGAGAACCCUGCUUAAGGAACUCGCAAAAUGACACCGUAACUUCGGGAGAAGGUGUGCCCUCUGUACGUGAAGCCCCUUGCGGGUGGAGCGGAAGAGGGUUGCAGAGAAACGGGGGUAGCGACUGUUUACCAAAAACCCAGCACUGUGCGAAGUCGGAAGACGACGUAUACGGUGUGAUGCCUGCCCGGUGCCGGAAGGUUAAGGGGAGUUGUCAGCCGCAAGGCAAAGCAGCGAACCGAAGCCCCGGUAAACGGCGGCCGUAACAAUAACGGUCCUAAGGUAGCGAAAUUCCUUGUCGGGUAAGUUCCGACCUGCACGAAUGGCAUAACGACUUCCCCACUGUCUCGAGCAGGGACUCAGCGAAGUAGCACUAGGGGUGAAGAUACCCUUUACCCGCGGCAGGACGGAAAGACCCCGUGAACCUUUACUGUAACUUGGCACUGAACUUCGGGUUCGUUUGCGUAGGAUAGGUGGGACGCUAGGAAGCAUGGACUCCGGUCUGUGUGGAGCGGCCGUUGAAAUACCACCCUGACGAAUCUGGAGUUCUAACCUGCACCCGUGAGCCGGGUGGGGGACAAUGCCUGGUGGGCAGUUUGACUGGGGCGGUCGCCUCCCAAAGAGUAACGGAGGCGCGCGAAGGUUCCCUCAGGCUGAUUGGAAACCAGCCGACGAGUGUAAUGGCAUAAGGGAGCUUGACUGCGAGACUGACAAGUCGAGCAGGUGCGAAAGCAGGUCAUGAUCCGGUGGUUCUGAAUGGAAGGGCCAUCGCUCAACGGAUAAAAGGUACUCCGGGGAUAACAGGCUUAUCACGCCCAAGAGUUCACAUCGACGGCGUGGUUUGGCACCUCGAUGUCGGCUCAUCGCAUCCUGGGGCUGAAGUUGGUCCCAAGGGUUUGGCUGUUCGCCAAUUAAAGCGGUACGCGAGCUGGGUUCAAAACGUCGUGAGACAGUUUGGUCCCUAUCCGCCGUGGGCGCAGGACGCUUGAGAGGAUCUGUCCUUAGUACGAGAGGACCGGGAUGGACGGACCGCUAGUGUUCCGGUUGUGGCGCCAGCUGCAAUGCCGGGUAGCUAUGUUCGGAAGGGAUAACCGCUGAAAGCAUCUAAGCGGGAAGCCCACCUCGAGAUAAGGCGUCCCUGAGACUUCGGUCUCCUGAAGACCCCAUGUAGACCACGUGGUUGAUAGGCUGGGUGUGGAAGCGCUGCAAGGCGCGGAGCUAACCAGUACUAAUCGGUCGUGAGGCUUGACCAC
RNAcentral lists this ribosomal RNA (1269 nucleotides) under metagenome. Its description in RNAcentral is "bacterial LSU rRNA". It matches the Rfam family "Bacterial large subunit ribosomal RNA", at positions 1675 to 2925 of the family's 2925-position model. The record is from RNAcentral.